RNAcentral lists this ribosomal RNA (1327 nucleotides) under Legionella pneumophila. RNAcentral describes it as "partial 23S ribosomal RNA". It matches the Rfam family "Bacterial large subunit ribosomal RNA", at positions 412 to 1735 of the family's 2925-position model. The record is from RNAcentral. Lineage: Bacteria; Pseudomonadati; Pseudomonadota; Gammaproteobacteria; Legionellales; Legionellaceae.
GUAGGCCGGGACACGUGAAAUCCUGGUUGAAGAUGGGUGGACCAUCAUCCAAGGCUAAAUACUACUUACUGACCGAUAGUGAACCAGUACCGUGAGGGAAAGGUGAAAAGAACCCCGGAGAGGGGAGUGAAAUAGAAUCUGAAACCGUUUGCGUACAAGCAGUGGGAGCAUGGUUUAGGCUGUGUGACUGCGUACCUUUUGUAUAAUGGGUCAGCGAGUUACUUUCAGUGGCGAGGUUAACUGAAUAAGGGAGCCGUAGAGAAAUCGAGUCUGAAUAGGGCGAUAGUCGCUGGGAGUAGACCCGAAACCGGGCGAUCUAGCCAUGUGCAGGAUGAAGGUUGGGUAACACCAACUGGAGGUCCGAACCGGGUAAUGUUGAAAAAUUAUCGGAUGACGUGUGGCUAGGAGUGAAAGGCUAAUCAAGCCCGGAGAUAGCUGGUUCUCCCCGAAAGCUAUUUAGGUAGCGCCUCGUGAAUGAUUACUGGGGGUAGAGCACUGUUUCGGCUAGGGGGCUGUCAUGGCUUACCAAACCGAUGCAAACUCCGAAUACCGGCUAAUUGAAUCACGGGAGACACACGGCGGGUGCUAACGUCCGUCGUGGAGAGGGAAACAACCCAGACCGCCAGCUAAGGUCCCCAAGUACUAGUUAAGUGGGAAACGAUGUGGGAAGGCAUAGACAGCCAGGAGGUUGGCUUAGAAGCAGCCACCCUUUAAAGAAAGCGUAAUAGCUCACUGGUCGAGUCGGCCUGCGCGGAAGAUGUAACGGGGCUAAAACUAGUCACCGAAGCUGCGGAUGUGCGCGAAGGCGCACGUGGUAGGGGAGCGUUCUGUAGGCUGAUGAAGGUGCAUUGAGAAGUGUGCUGGAGGUAUCAGAAGUGCGAAUGCUGACAUGAGUAACGAUAAUGUGGGUGAAAAGCCCACACGCCGGAAGUCCCAGGUUUCCUGCACGACGUUAAUCGGAGCAGGGUGAGUCGGCCCCUAAGGCGAGGCUGAAGAGCGUAGUCGAUGGGAACCAGGUUAAUAUUCCUGGACUUUUUAUAAGUGGUGAAGUGGGGACGAAGAAGGCUAGGUGAGCCAGGCGUUGGUUGUCCUGGUACUUGCAUGUAGGGGGGAAGACUUGGCAAAUCCGGUUUUCCAUAACUCUGAGGUGCGAAGUGGUUCUGACCUUUUGGUACAGAGAAGUCAUUGAUGCCCGGCUUCCAGGAAAAGCUGCUAGCCAUAACUUAUAGAGAACCGUACCGCAAACCGACACAGGUGGACAGGUAGAGAAUACUAAGGCGCUUGAGAGAACUCGGGUGAAGGAACUAGGCAAAAUGGUACCGUAACU